RNAcentral lists this ribosomal RNA (497 nucleotides) under uncultured bacterium. Its description in RNAcentral is "partial 16S ribosomal RNA". It matches the Rfam family "Bacterial small subunit ribosomal RNA", at positions 28 to 507 of the family's 1533-position model. The record is from RNAcentral.
GAUGAACGCUGGCGGCGUGCCUAAUACAUGCAAGUCGAGCGAACAGAUGAGGAGCUUGCUCCUCUGACGUUAGCGGCGGACGGGUGAGUAACACGUGGAUAACCUACCUAUAAGACUGGGAUAACUUCGGGAAACCGGAGCUAAUACCGGAUAAUAUAUUGAACCGCAUGGUUCAAUAGUGAAAGACGGUUUUGCUGUCACUUAUAGAUGGAGCCGGGCCGGAUUAGCUAGUUGGUAAGGUAACGGCUUACCAAGGCAACGAUGCGUAGCCGACCUGAGAGGGUGAUCCGGCACACUGGAACUGGGACACGGUCCAGCACCCUACGGGGGGCAGCAGUGGGGAAUAUUGGCCAAUGGGCGCAAGCCUGAUCCAGCCAUACCGCGUGGGUGAAGAAGGCCUUCGGGUUUUAAAACCCUUUUUUUGGGGAAAAAAAAAAGGUGGUUAAAACCCCGCUGUUCUGACGGUACCCAAAGAAAAAGCCCCGGCUAACUUCGUG